GGGUUGGAAAAAUAUUCAACCGAAAUAUAAUUUGUUCGGUUUGAAUCGGUUUCGGUUCGGUUGGUUCGGUUUAACUUUGUUCGGUUCAGUUUUUUUGUCCACCCCUACUCCGAAGCAUUAACAUUUCGAAAGAAGAGGAAAGCGAUCAUUGUUGGACUAUUUUGCGCUCACGUCAGCACUUAUCAGGCUGUCGUCAUGUAUUGGUGCUCGA
This 211-nucleotide long non-coding RNA is filed under the name Brassica napus (rape). RNAcentral's name for it is "long non-coding RNA (BNAP_LNC022285)". The record is from RNAcentral. Lineage: Eukaryota; Viridiplantae; Streptophyta; Magnoliopsida; Brassicales; Brassicaceae.